CAUAUGUCAGGAGUGCUCUGAUGGUGUUUCCUGCUUGGCAGGGGGUUGGACUCGAUGGCCCUUGUGGUCUCUUCCAACUCUAUGAUUCUAUGAACUCCUAUGAGGUAAUAAAAUGAGAGUGAAUGUCACAACUGCUCCGAAGUUUCUGAGAUGCAGAGAACUGCCAAGUCCCAGUGCAGUUGUUGGAAGCAGUGAGGAUCUCCUGUGAACCCCGGUUCUCUUCAGGAUUCUGCUCCCUUAGUUCAAGCAUCUGCUAGUUGUCACAGUCAAUAAGUUUCCUGAAAUUCCGGCACAUUUACCCAAGGGACAGCCAUCGUACAAUUGAAAGCCUCACAUGCCAUAUGGCUCACCAAACUGCCCACCAGGAAUGUAUGGCAGCUUCGCAUGGAUCCUCCUCUUCUGAGGGUGUCAGGCAUGGAGGAUCCUUUCUUCCCCCAGUAGCAUCAAAGGCAAGAAGAACAAGCAAGUUGUAUUUAUGGCUUUUAUUCAGUCAUCUGGGUGCAAGAGAAAAGAAUCCAUGUCUCCACACAAAGGUGACGUUGCCUACUCAGAGUUCCUCUUCCUCCCCAACAUCCUGAGUACCUACAGAAAGUCCCAUGAGUCACACUCCUCUGCAAUCUCUGUUCUUGAAUGCGGAGUGAUCGGCGAGCCCUUGGAGAAGGAAGAUCUCCCAGACUAUCCAGGGAGGUCUCUGCUGGCUGCUCUUUCACUACCCCCUCCUCCUCUGUGUUGGCAAGAUGGCAAACUGUGUGCUGGAUGACAUUGUUAGGUCAAUCCACAACUGGCUGAACACAGAUACCCAACAAACAUGCAUUAAUGGCCUUGAGUGGAGUGCCAUGGGGCUCUGCCCUAGUCCUUUUGCUAUUCAACUUUUUUAUAAGUGACUUGACUGAAAGAGUUGAGGGGAUGCUUAUCAAAUUGCAGAUGACAUGAAGCAGGGAGGGAUAGCUACCCCAUAGAGACAAAAUCAAAAUUCAAAGUUGUAUUGACAGUCUUGUACAGUGGUCUGAAACCAACAAGAUGAAACAACUUCCGGUGGAGCGCGAGCCCGUCGCAAGCGAGGGAUUUUUCCGCGAGAGGAUCCCAGCUAUUUCGGACAGAAAAGGGGGGUUACAGGGCGCAGUAACCCCCCUAUUAAUCCUCUGGAGGGUGUCCAGAGAGUCAGGUUCCCGGCAGUGCCAAAAAGCUACCCGCCCGGCCGUCAGGUAACCCCGAAAAGGGGCGAAGAGUACGGCGGAACGGGAUAGCGGGCUAUCGGGAAGCCAUUGCUAUGUCCGAAUAGCGAAGCCCCGAGCUUGCAAGGAACAGUGCUCCGCUCUCAAAUAUAAGAAAUUCGGACCCAAUUUAUUUAUAAUUUGGAUGAUGUGGUACUGAGGAAGGCUCCGUAAAUAAAAAGGAUAAAUAUAGAGUUCAGCUGUCAUCUGGAAUCAGCGCAGAUGCAGCAUCGCAAGCAGAGCUGGAAAAUGAAAGUGAGUUGCCGCUAGCGGCUAUUGUUUCCGUUUCUCUCUAAACUUUCAGAAGUAAAGUAAAGAAGUAUAAAAGUUACUUUAAUAGAGGCUACAAAGAAGCAGGAGACUAUUAAAGUAAAAAGGGGGAACAGAAAGUCAUUAUAGUGGCAAACAGAGGUCUUUGAUGUAGCGGAGGACGCAUGAGGAAUGAAGUGUUUUCCCACUUUCACUUUUAAAGACAAAGAACUGCGAUGGAAGGAAAGCUUCCGACUCCAUUGUUAAUUGUUAAAUAGAGGCAAGCACUGGGAAGGCUGCAGUUGCAGAGAAGAAGGAACUAAUACAUUUUUCCACUUUUUUUUUUGGUUGAUACUGACUUUUAAGUAUUAAAAAAGUUAAAUCUGGCACAUGGAAAUUGGAAAAUUCCAAAAUAGUUGAGAUUGGUAACUAUUUGGAACUUUAGAUCUACGCCAUUUAAACUUGGACUUUGGUCCCCUAGUGGAUGGAAUGAGAUACUGCAAUUUGUUUUUUAUGAUUUUUUCUUGCUAGUGGUGUGUUUUUGAAGUGGAAGGAAAUUUUGAUUUUACUUUUGUUCUGCACUGGGUUUCUGUGGAACGCUCCCUCUGGAAUUUUAUUGGCUUAAUCUCUCAGUUACUUAAAUACCCUUUGGAAUAUUAAAUGGAUAACUGAGAACCAAUUUUUGAGGAAUUUUGAAUUUAGAGGAUAUAAAUUGAGGCUAUUUGGAUUAUAAUUCGAAUCACUUGGAAAAUAUUUACAUUUGGAUAAUUCACCUGGAUUACAAUUCGAAUUAUUUGGAUUACAAUUUUAUCUGGAUUUUAAAGGGCGCAGGAGGAUGUCUAGAAAAAGAGCCUAAUUGAGGAUUAGCCCCGCUGGCGGCAAGAAGAUUGGUUUCUACUUGGGCCUUGGUUUCUGAUUUGGUUUUUUACUCUUCGAAGCUACCAAGGGGGGAAAACAGACAACUCACCUCUCUGGGCACCCCCUUGUACAAAAGAUACCGCCCUCGCUUCUCUUUCUUCUUCAUCUUUUCAGCACUAUUCAAUCUUAUCUUACUCUUUUUCCUUUUUGAAAGUGAUACAUUACAAAUUAAAAUUGAAAACCGUUUAAAUUAUACCAACUAAAUUGGAUAUAUAUUAACUGAUCAUUUUGUUAAAUUGGGAUACUUGUUUCUGUAUGAUAUUUGUAUUGUAUUGUUUUGAAUGAUUGGGGAGUGUUGUUACAGAGGUUGGUGUUAGUAAGAUUUUAUCAGAAAUGACACAUCAACAGAAGAAAGGGAUGGAGGGGGGGACACCGACAAAUAGGAGACCAUCUAAGCAAGAAGCAGAUUUCAAAGCAGAAAUAUUGAAAAUGUUUGCAGAAAUUAAACAAAGUGGAAAGAAUCUGGAAACAAAACUAGAACAAGUGGAUAGCAAAAUUGGGAAAAUGGAUAAAAAAAUUGAUGAGACAGUUAAUGAACUGAAAGGGCAAAUAAGAGAGGUAUCUAAAAGAACCCAAUCGCUGGAGGAGGGGAUGAAGAGGACAAAAUUGGAAAUGAAGGAGGUGAAACGAGAGGAAGAGAGGAUUAAGGUGGAGAAGUUGGAAAUAAACCAAUCACAGGAGGAAAUUAAAGAUGUGAUUGCUAUGAAUGAGUUGAGACAGAGGGAAGUGAAUCUGAGGCUGAGAUCUGUGCCAGAGAUACAGAAUGAAAAUAUCAAAGAGAGAUUGAUAAUGGAAAUAGCGCAGUGGUUGGAGUUAUCAGUAGAAGAAGUUGCAAAAACAGUACAAAAUGUAUCAGAAUGAGAGUAAGAACAAGUAAAGCAAGAAAAUUUCCAGGAGAUUGUUUAAUUACCUUUAAGGAUAGAGAGAUGAGAAAUCUGAUAUUACAGAAGAAUAGAGAGAAAAGAUUAUACAUAGAUGGAAAUUACAUAAUCAUCUUUAAAGAUAUACCAAUAAGACUGUUGAAACGAAGAGACCCAUAUAAGCCACUGGUGCAGAUUCUUAAGAAAAACAAAAUUGAUUUCAAAUGGGAAUUUCCAGAGGGAAUUUCAUUCUUUUAUAAAAGUAAGAAACACAGAUUGACAAGCCCAGAAGAAACAGGGAAGUUCACGAGAAGGUACAAGGAAUUAAAAGUGGAAGAAGAAGAAGUCAAAGGUGUAGAAGGAGGUGUAGGAUCCAAAGAAGAGUUAGAAUUGGGGGAAGAAGAAGAAGAGAACGGAAAGAAGUCUG
This 3668-nucleotide long non-coding RNA is filed under the name Podarcis lilfordi (Lilford's wall lizard). Lineage: Eukaryota; Metazoa; Chordata; Lepidosauria; Squamata; Lacertidae. The record is from RNAcentral.